AUUAACAGGUAUGCCAAAGGAAAAAUAUGAUCCUCCAGAUCCCCGUAGAUGUUACACCAUCAUGUCAGCCGAGGAUGCGGCCAAUGGGAAGAAGUCUUACUGGGCCGAGCUCGAGAUAUCUGGACGAGUGAGGAGUCUGAGCAGCUCAUUAUGGACACUCACCCACCUGACAGCGCUGCACAUCAACGACAACAACCUGACCCGCAUCCCACCGGACAUCGCCAAGCUGCCCAACCUGGUCUACCUGAAUCUAUCGUCCAAUAAACUCCGCAGUCUGCCUGCCGAACUGGGCAACAUGGUCUCUCUCAGGGAAUUGCUUUUAAACAACAAUCUUUUACGAGUUCUGCCUUAUGAACUUGGGAGGCUUUUCCAGUUACAAACCCUGGGGCUUAAAGGAAACCCUUUGUCCCAAGAUAUCCUCAAUCUGUACCAGGAGCCGGACGGAACCAGAAAGCUUUUGAACUACAUGCUCGACAAUCUAGCAGUGCACCCAGAGCAGCUCCCCCAAAGACCUUGGAUCACUCUGAAAGAGCGAGACCAAAUGACUUCCACAGCCGUGUUCACGGUCAUGUGCUACAACGUGCUUUGUGACAAAUACGCCACGCGGCAGCUGUACGGCUACUGCCCAUCCUGGGCCCUCAACUGGGAGUACCGGAAGAAAGGCAUCAUGGAGGAAAUCACCAGCUGUGACGCUGACAUCAUCAGCCUGCAGGAAGUGGAGACGGAGCAGUACUACACUAUGUUUCUGGAAACACUAAAGGAACGCGGCUACGAUGGCUACUUCUGUCCAAAGUCUCGUGCCAAGCUGGUUUCUGAACAGGAGAGGAAACACGUGGAUGGCUGUGCUGUGUUUUUCAAGACCGAGAAGUUUACUUUGGUCCAGAAACACACUGUGGAGUUCAACCAGGUGGCCAUGGCCAACUCUGAGGGCUCAGAGGUCAUGCUGAACAGAGUGAUGACCAAAGACAACAUCGGAGUGGCUGUUCUUCUCGAAGUCAACAAGGACAUGUUCUCUGGUGGCAUGAAGCCAUCACAGGAGAGGCAGCUGAUCCUGGUUGCCAACGCUCACAUGCACUGGGACCCCGAGUACUCGGACGUCAAGUUGAUCCAAACUAUGAUGUUUCUGUCGGAGCUGAAGAGCAUCGCUGAGAGGGCCUCAGGCUCCGUGGCAACCGGUUCACCGACCUCCGACCCGUCCUCCAUCCCCAUCGUCCUGUGUGCUGACCUCAACUCACUGCCCGACUCUGGUGUGGUAGAAUUCCUGAGCGAUGGAGGAGUAGCCGAGAACCACAAGGACUUCAAGGAACUCCGCUACAAUGAAUGUCUGACCAACUUCAACUGCAACGGCAAGAACGGCAAUUCGGAUGGAAGCAUCACACACAGCUUCCAGCUGAAGAGCGCCUACGACAGCAAUCUGAUGCCUUACACAAACUACACAUAUGACUUCAAGGGUGUGAUCGACUACAUCUUCUUCUCCAAAACCCAUAUGAGUGUCCUGGGCCUGAUGGGACCGCUGGACAGCCAGUGGCUCAUCGACAACAACAUCACAGGCUGCCCCCAUCCCCACAUCCCCUCGGACCACUUCUCCCUGCUGGCCCAGCUGGAGCUGCAGCCCCCCCUGCCCCACCCGCUCAACCCCCUCAACGGGCUGCACCUGCCUGUCCACAGGUAGUGCAGCCCGAGAAAAGCCCCCGCCCACCCUUCUUACCCCACCUUCAAACACUGUCCUCCCCCCUCCCUCCGGCUUUAUACAGGACCCUGUACAGUUUACCGGUCAUGUUAAAACUCAGACAUCAUCCGGCCCGUCAAACCCUGAGACACACCCAGCCAAAAGGAGUGAAGUAUUCGCCCGUUUGUUGCUCCUUUUUGUGUUUUUGCACACUGUAAAUUAUAUAUUUUAUUUUUUCUUUCUCCCCUUCAGAAUGCUUAAUACCAAAUGUUGGGCUUGGGAAGACGUUGCUAUGGUAACCCCCAAUGUCAUUCUUUUCCUUUGCCUUAGAUAUUGAUCAUCACCGCCUGUAGAUUCUGCUCACACAUCAUCAAACCUUAACUGAUACUAUCAACUUUUUAACAAUACAUCUACUACACAGACGUCGGCAGAUUAGCUGAGUUUCAUUUGCAUUUCUUGCUGUGAAAUAGUCUUUUUAGAGUAAAAGCUAAACAACAUGAUAUUGAUGCUGCACCACAACCACAAUGUUGUGUUAAGGUCUAUAGCAGUGGGACCUUCGAUCAUUCCCAAAUAAACUGACAGAUAUUUUAAUUAAAGGCGAAUCACUACAAACAGCUGAAUCUAAGUUAGUAAUGUUGUACGCAGGUGUGAAAGGUUUGUUUAUUUUUUGUAAACACGGGUCGAUUAUUUAAAUUCUGCACACCAAAAUACUUACGUCAACUACACUUAAGUAAAAAGCAACAAUUUUUAAGGUUAAAUAGUACCAAUUGGGUGUUUUUAAAAGUAAUAUACUGUCAUUGUAGCACUAAAUUGGUGUGUUUCAUAUGGGAACUAAGAUAUGAGACUUAUGUCACGGCUGCAGGUAACAGCACUGAAAAUAGUGAUGACAGAUUGUUCUCGGGGGCUUUCAGAUUGACCCUUGCCCUGAGAAAACUAAUGGAUAGUAAUGGAUAAUAGCUGACUCCCAAAUAAUGCAAUUUUCAGCCUGAAAGUUGCCUCACAGUGCUGCCUUUAUGUUGCUAAGCUGCUGAAGUCACCCCUGUGAAUUUCUUCUUCUAUAAGGUAUUGGCCGUUCGGCAAGCUCAGUGUAGUUGCCACACUUCAGGCCAAAGGAGUUGCCAACUCUUACGUUUCUGUCAGCAUUGCUACAAAAUGAGGCCACUACUCUUUGACUUGCUUUGAAGAAAAUAUUUUAAAACAAACUAUAUUUGUAACACAAUCCUGAUAUAUACCAACAAUGCGCUUUACACUUUUAGUUUUUCAAGUCGUGCUUUUGAACACCUACGGUCUUAAGAGAGAAUUGUCCUGUUUUCCCGUCACCUGACUGGCCAAAGAAUCUUCCAGAAUGAGUCACUUCUGCUCUGUUCAUAAUGAGAUAAUAUUUAUUUAUUGGUGCCAGAGAAAAAAAAAACCUCCUGAAAAGAAUCUGCAAAUGAUUCGCAACCAGGAGACGAAUGUAUCUACCAAAGGCUCACUAUGAAAUUGGUUGUUGGAGCCUCUCAAUGCCAGAUUCCAGUGGACUCUAGACUUUGUAUAUUGUGUCAGAUAAUUAGAACUAAUAGCCCUUUAUGUAAGUUGUAACUCAGGGCUAUACUAUGCAUCCAGCAGUACCUCUCUUAACGAAAGACUCUCAGAGUCGCGUCGUACGAGCAAAAACCAAACAGGAAGCUAUUGUUCUGAAAAUCCUUUAUAAGCACAGGUAAUGUAUGUACUUGCAUACAUAGUAUAUGUUGUCAUCGUAGAAGUCCCACGUCUUUGUGCAUUUUUGAUAAAAACUGCUGCUGCACUUUUGCUCCAUUUCCAAAAAGAAUGACUGGGGAGAUUCUUUUUUGGAGUCGCCAGAAGAUGCAAAAAUCUAUGAGAUUCAUUUGGUUUAGAGAAAGUUUAGGAAGUUUAAAACAUUGUCAUUUGGUUUUGUUGUAAGGCUUUUAAGAGACGAUCAAGUCUCAGUGUGGGAUUGUAGGUAUUAUUUAAUGCAGGUGUUGGACUGGGUAUCAAUACAUGCACCUAUAUGUUAAAGUACCUUAGUUUCAGCACUAUUACACAUAAUAUAGCCAAUGUUUUUUCAAUAUUUUGAAAAUUCAAAAAAGAAAUGUAAAAAAGGAGAGACAAUAAAUGGGUUUCUUUAGAAGACUUCUAAGAAAUGUAAUGUCAGCUCCAGUCCUUAAGGCUCGGACCCACACUAGGGGUCUUUACUAAAAGUUCAGACAUUCAGCUUGCGACAAGCACGGGGACAUGGCCUCUAUAGGAGGAGGUCACUCACCAGCAGAGAAUGUUGGGAACCACUGGUCUGAACAGUCAGCCAUACAAUUGAUUUAAAAUACAGUCUCAAAUUGAAAACAAUUUGAUUUCUAAUCAGGAACAGUCUGGUUGGAAGAAGAAUUAGUUUGUAAUAUUUUCUGAGUUCUUAGUACAUUAGACACUUAAACACUGCGGUUUGAUUCCCAGGCCUGUCUAUCUCAUAAUAGCUGCCUGCACAUGCAUUCACAGUGUUGAAGAUACUGGGCACAUUUCCCACUGCAGUGUCUAGCAAACCCUGACUUUCUAAGAUUGAAUUAGUUAAAUUAGUCGAAGCAUUUGCUCCGUUCAGUAUUUGAAAAGAAAAGCCAUAACUUCGGGAUAAAUGGUGUGACCCUGUAACCUCAGCUUUAAACCACAAUCAGAUCCGUUCCACCGGCCUGGACGGGGCAGUAUCAGCUUUGCUUCAUUUGCACAUGAUUUGACGCUAAUGGAUGCACCUCCAGUUUUGGUGGAGUUGAUGAAGUCCAUCUUUAUGAGCAUUUUGAGGCCUAUACUUCACUCCUAAACUCACCUCACUGGGUUUUUUUGUACAACAGCUGUACAUAGAUGAAAUUGCCUUUGAUGACAGGGCGUCUUUCACAUCUGUGAGGGGAAUGUACCAUUCUCUGAUUAAGGGGCGUAUUUUUUCUCACAAAUCAAAGAUGUACUUGUACUUUUUUUUCUUUGCCCGGUGCACUAAAGCUCUCAUAUGUGAAUACAACCUCCAUCUGUCUCUGAAACUCUUGUCGAGACAAAAUGUCUCUGUCCAGCGUUGUUUUUGAACUACGGGCAUUUUCUGUCUCCUACUAACAUGCAGUCUUUCAAUUGGUACUUUGUACAAUUCACUAUUACCAAGUUUUUUGAGAAAAAAAAACAAAAACAUAAACGUUUUAGGUUUAAAAGCAGCUUGUCUUGAUGGCUUUUAUUUCUCCAGUGCACAUCUAAUUGUCCGCUCAAAGCUUUUCAUGCUCUGAGACGAUGUUCAAGCUAAAGUAUUUUGGUUUCUUCCUCUUUCAAGUUGACAUUUCCCCACUGGGUGAUCCGGGAAAUUAUUUUGCAUAUCCCGUUCACAUCUCUCUACACACAUUAUCCAACAUCCAUUGCACAUCUUUGACUUUUUACACAAUAAUAUCCAACUACCGUUACCUAAGCAUAUGACCUAUUGAUUUUGUCUCUGUAGAGCGCGCCUCACAUAAUUUUUUCUACAAACAACGUGCCUAGUUUGUACAACUUCUCCAACAGCAGCACUGCCCAUGAGACCAAGACGCUCAGAGAUUAACCCAGCGCCAUCAUCCAGCCAUCAACCCAUCACCCAUCCAUCCAUCCAUCCAUCCAUGCUUUCAUCCCUCCAGUCCUUCCUGAACCAACUUCAGGGGAUGAGAUCAUGAGGAAUUGAAACUGGUCAAUCAUGGUUCUCCUCAGAGUGGUUUCUCUUUUUUUGUUUUUGAUCAAAAGGCUUUUUUGUAUCCAUAACAUCAAGGACAAAUCAGUCAUUUUUAGACCAGAUAUUGCAGAGGUCGCUGUAUCUUGCACAGGAUUAUCACGCCUAUCAUCUCAUGUGAUUUCUGAAUGUAAAAAUCCUGUCCGUCAAUAUCUGGCCAUGGCUUGUUUUUGAUUUGUUUGUUUUGUUUUUCCUUCCACUGUUCCUUCAGGCUCAUUUUAUAGCGAUGUGGUUGCUACAUGAGGUUUUUAGUCGGUGGUGGCCAAUAAUGAAAUGUCCAGCAAUGUCCACUUGGGAACAUGAGGAUUAUCUGACAGAGUGUUUAGCACUUGGAAGGAGGGUCUGUUGUCUUUAAUCUACUUUCACGUGUUAAAAUUGAGUCUACAACUAGGCCAGGCAUCCAAGCCAGGAAACAUUCAAAGGAUGCCAUGUAACCAUUUUCCUCCCAGUAUAUUAACCUGUACAUGAGGAAAAGGAAUGAAAUUAUUGUGCAAUUUGAGUUCAAAGAAUAGAGAAAAAAAACAUUGUUAAUAACUGCAGUACAGUCUGACACAGUGUCUUUAAUAAUUGACAGCUCUGAACACAGGUUAAUGCACUGGCAGCAACUUCAGUGUCAAAACACGCUCCAAGCCACUCUAAGUUCCUCGUCCUUGUCAAAGUUGUAAUUCUGAGAAUACAAGUGAUGAGAACAAAGAAUGCUCGACUGUUACUUGUGGAAACAAAGAAUUUAUCUCUUUGGAGCCCUCUUUAAGUUGCUGCCUUUCGGAAACAUUCUGCAGAUUUGUUUCAUUCAUAUGUAAUAAGCGGAGUAAAAGAGAACGAGGGUCCUCAGCCACCAGCAGUCACCAGUGACGGUGCUACAUUAUUUCUCAAGAGGAUUUCAAAGGACUGCACUCAAACCUGCUAUAUGUAACAACGGAUGUUAAGAUUCUGCCAUCAGACUCCUAGACGAGCAGCUUCUCACCACAUUGGUUUUCAAUCCAGCUAGCUUCCGCCGCGCUGGGUUGGAAGGAAAACUCUGUAGUGGAGAGUUGCUAAAAUUAGACGGAAAAACAAAGCAGUUUCUGUGUUGUGGAAGCCAAAGUGUGCGUCGUGUCUGAUGGCUAAAUGUCAAAAAAGGUGUAAAACUGCGGCGACACAAGUAGCUGUUCGCCUGCCAGGACGAGUGGAAGUCUGUCUAUUGUAGGUGGCAGAUCUGACUUUGCUGUUUUCCUCUGACAAAACAAAUGCAGCUCUAUCCUUUGUAGACAUCCUGUUUGCUUGUGUUGCGAUCGCUAAGUUGCAACUGCACAUUGCGCGUCAUCAGGGCCGGCCCGGGCAUAUAUGGAGGAAAAAAAUUAAAAUCAGUGAAAGGCACUUUGCACUUCUACAAAAAAAAAAAACUUGCUGACAUAAUAGAACUUUAAAAAAAGAAUGACUACACAACCUUUCACCAAUGUUGGAAGAGAAACCUGCUCGAAUUUUUGGAAUUUUCAUGCUUAUAUUAUAAUCAGAAAGGAUUGCAUGCUGCUGUGUGGAAGCUUUUUUAGCCCUGGAGUAGCACUCAGCCUGACCUGUAUAAUGUUACCAAAUACCCUGAUUGUUGUUAUCUUAGCUGGUGCUCUAAUGUAAGAUGCUAAUGAGAUGCUUUAUGGGAAAUGUAGCACUCAGUGUUUUUGACCUGGACUAGGAAGCUGAAGUCAGGAUAUCUCUGCCUCUCCUGACGGAAGUUUGACCAUUCUGUUUGUAAUCUGCCGCUUGUAAGCCUUGUAAGACUUAUAGAAGUGAGUUACUUAAUCACCGGACUACACCAAUCAGGAGAAAGAACAGUAGACUCAAAGGCAAAUACAAAUGAAACCAAACAACCGAACACAUAUUUGUGAUCCUAAAAAAUCUAACAUUUAGGGUGUGAGGUUGUGUUUCUGGCUGAUUUCUUUUGGCCGGCUCUGGCACAAACAACACAUUACUGUACAGAGAGAGGAUUUCUUGCUGUACUGAAGCAGUGAUGUUGACACAAGUGAAUGCAGGACUUCUACAAAAGCUUCAGCUGUGUUUUUAACAUGUGAGCAGUUCCGCCUCGGUUGAAACCAAACAUGCUCAGCAGCACUUGUAUCAUCUCUACACCCAAAGCCCCGACUCCCCUCUCCUCCUGUAGGCAAUAAACAUGUCGUUUUUUUGAACAGU
Acanthopagrus latus (yellowfin seabream) is the source of this 7553-nucleotide RNA transcript. It is a transcript of the gene named CCR4-NOT transcription complex, subunit 6-like, with no coding region annotated. The record is from RefSeq and is a predicted model, not a curated record. Lineage: Eukaryota; Metazoa; Chordata; Actinopteri; Spariformes; Sparidae. The transcript has 12 exons.